Molecule: ribosomal RNA, 673 nt
Filed under: bacterium ER-Se-3
Lineage: Bacteria
Description: bacterial SSU rRNA
Rfam family: Bacterial small subunit ribosomal RNA
Source: RNAcentral
UUGCUUGCCGAACGGCGGACGGGUGAGUAUGGCUUGGGAACAUUCCUUGAGGUGGGGGACAACAGUUGGAAACGAAUGCUAAUUCCGCAUAAUGUCUACGGACCAAAGGGGGCUUAGGCUCUCGCCUUUAGAUUGGCCCAAGUGGGAUUAGCUAGUUGGUGAGGUAAUGGCUCACCAAGGCGACGAUCCCUAGCUGGUUUGAGAGGAUGAUCAGCCACACUGGGACUGAGACACGGCCCAGACUCCUACGGGAGGCAGCAGUGGGGAAUAUUGCACAAUGGGCGCAAGCCUGAUGCAGCCAUGCCGCGUGUGUGAAGAAGGCCUUCGGGUUGUAAAGCACUUUCAGUCAGGAGGAAAGGUUAGUAGUUAAUACCUGCUAGCUGUGACGUUACUGACAGAAGAAGCACCGGCUAACUCCGUGCCAGCAGCCGCGGUAAUACGGAGGGUGCGAGCGUUAAUCGGAAUUACUGGGCGUAAAGCGUACGCAGGCGGUUUGUUAAGCGAGAUGUGAAAGCCCCGGGCUCAACCUGGGAACUGCAUUUCGAACUGGCAAACUAGAGUGUGAUAGAGGGUGGUAGAAUUUCAGGUGUAGCGGUGAAAUGCGUAGAGAUCUGAAGGAAUACCGAUGGCGAAGGCAGCCACCUGGGUCAACACUGACGCUCAGUACGAAAGG